Molecule: ribosomal RNA, 497 nt
Filed under: uncultured bacterium
Lineage: Bacteria
Description: partial 16S ribosomal RNA
Rfam family: Bacterial small subunit ribosomal RNA
Source: RNAcentral
GAUGAACGCUGGCGGCGUGCCUAAUACAUGCAAGUCGAGCGAACAGACGAGGCGCUUGCUCCUCUGACGUUAGCGGCGGACGGGUGAGUAACACGUGGAUAACCUACCUAUAAGACUGGGAUAACUUCGGGAAACCGGAGCUAAUACCGGAUAAUAUCUUGAACCGCAUGGUUCAAUAGUGAAAGACGGUUUUGCUGUCACUUAUAGAUGGAUCCGCGCCGCAUUAGCUUGUUGGUAAGGUAACGGCUUACCAAGGCAACGAUGCGUAGCCGACCUGAGAGGGUGAUCGGCCACACGGGAACUGAGACACGGUCCAGAGGCCUACGGGAGGCAGCAGUAGGGAAUCUUCCGCAAUGGUCGAAAACCUGACGGAGCAACGCCGCGUGAGUGAUGAAGAUCUUCGGAUCGUAAAACUCUGUUAUUAGGGAAGAACAAAUGUGUAAGUAACUAUGCACGUCUUGACGGUACCUAAUCAGAAAGCCACGGCUAACUACGUG